UUUAAAAUCUAAAAAUGAUAGGUAACUAUCCUAUAUUA
RNAcentral lists this transfer RNA (38 nucleotides) under Limnotrachelobdella okae. Its description in RNAcentral is "partial tRNA-Leu". The record is from RNAcentral. Lineage: Eukaryota; Metazoa; Annelida; Clitellata; Hirudinida; Piscicolidae.